RNAcentral lists this ribosomal RNA (333 nucleotides) under bacterium enrichment culture clone ALO1_GLFRUDD03GL013. Its description in RNAcentral is "bacterial SSU rRNA". It matches the Rfam family "Bacterial small subunit ribosomal RNA", at positions 10 to 342 of the family's 1533-position model. The record is from RNAcentral.
GAUUUGAUCCUGGCUCAGAUUGAACGCUGGCGGCAUGCCUUACACAUGCAAGUCGAACGGCAGCACGGGAGCUUGCUCCUGGUGGCGAGUGGCGAACGGGUGAGUAAUGCAUCGGAACGUAUCCUGGAGUGGGGGAUAACGUAGCGAAAGUUACGCUAAUACCGCAUAUUCUGUGAGCAGGAAAGCGGGGGACCUUCGGGCCUCGCGCUCUUGGAGCGGCCGAUGUCGGAUUAGCUAGUUGGUGAGGUAAAGGCGUCACCAAGGCGACGAUCCGUAGCAGGUCUGAGAGGAUGAUCUGCCACACUGGAACUGAGACACGGUCCAGACUCCUAC